GGGGCUGCAGAGAGAGAGGCAGGGUCUAAUCAGCAGCCUCUGGCACAGCUGUUGAUCAGCCGUUGCCUCUCUCUUUCUCUCUU
This is a non-coding RNA of Myotis lucifugus (little brown bat), 83 nucleotides long. The record is from Rfam. Lineage: Eukaryota; Metazoa; Chordata; Mammalia; Chiroptera; Vespertilionidae.